Ananas comosus (pineapple) is the source of this 770-nucleotide long non-coding RNA. RefSeq lists it as uncharacterized. The record is from RefSeq and is a predicted model, not a curated record. The transcript has 6 exons. Lineage: Eukaryota; Viridiplantae; Streptophyta; Magnoliopsida; Poales; Bromeliaceae.
UCAGAGGAAAGGUUUUGCACCUAUCUCACUUUCUCUCUCUAGGGUUUCUCUCUCUUUGAGUAGAAAUCGCCGAUUCGAGCUUAUUUUGCGCCUCGCUCGACGUUUGCUGGUUUGGAGACUUGAGGGGAGUCCUUGGAUCGUGGGAAGGAGGAACCUUACAGAAUUUCUGUGAUCCUAUCACCAGGGAAAGCCGAGUUGCAGCUUUUGAUAGCUGAGUUGGAAGGGGAUUCCAGCAGCUAGAGAGGAGUUAUCUAGCUGUGAUUUCUCCCCUUUAGUCCAGGAAAAACUGAAUUAAGGCUUGGCAAAGUAAUUAGUUAACUUUUGACUCUAUUUUGAACUAUACGAGGUUUAAUCAAGUGUAUUGAUGCCGAUUUGAGUUGUUGGCUGGCAGCAACUGUGAGAAUCACUUUGAGCUAAGUUUGUGACCUUGGGAACUGGUUUGGAAGGUGUUUCAGCUAGUGCAAAGUUGCGACCGACCCUCGGAUUAUCCUUGGCUGAUAUUUGGGAGCUCUCAGAGGUUAAACUCGAUGUACUAAACUGGACCAAACAGGGGUUCAAGUUAUAACCUUGUACAAAGAUUGAGACCCAGUUGAGCUGAAUUUCGGGACUCGUUUGGGCAGGAUCGAGCUUAGUACUAGGUGCUUUUACCUGGAUUGAAGAGUAGGCUUGAUUUUUAUCUCAAUCUAGGGAACUUAAAGGCACCGGAUUUCUUGCGAGUGUGAGUUCGACAAGGGUUGUGGACUAAUAGAACCAUCCACUGCGGGAGAGGC